AGAGUUUGAUCAUGGCUCAGGACGAACGCUGGCGGCGUGCUUAACACAUGCAAGUCGAGCGGAAAGGCCCUUCGGGGUACUCGAGCGGCGAACGGGUGAGUAACACGUGAGUAACCUGCCCUGGACUUUGGGAUAACCCUCGGAAACGGGGGCUAAUACCGGAUAUGACAAUUGACUGCAUGGUUGGUUGUGGAAAGUUUUUCGGUCUGGGAUGGGCUCGCGGCCUAUCAGCUUGUUGGUGGGGUGAUGGCCUACCAAGGCGACGACGGGUAGCCGGCCUGAGAGGGCGACCGGCCACACUGGGGCUGAGACACGGCCCAGACUCCUACGGGAGGCAGCAGUGGGGAAUAUUGCACAAUGGGCGGAAGCCUGAUGCAGCGACGCCGCGUGAGGGAUGACGGCCUUCGGGUUGUAAACCUCUUUCAGCAGGGACGAAGCGCAAGUGACGGUACCUGCAGAAGAAGCGCCGGCCAACUACGUGCCAGCAGCCGCGGUAAGACGUAGGGCGCGAGCGUUGUCCGGAUUUAUUGGGCGUAAAGAGCUCGUAGGCGGCUUGUCGCGUCGACUGUGAAAACCCGCGGCUCAACCGCGGGCCUGCAGCCGAUACGGGCAGGCUAGAGUUCGGUAGGGGAGACUGGAAUUCCUGGUGUAGCGGUGAAAUGCGCAGAUAUCAGGAGGAACACCGGUGGCGAAGGCGGGUCUCUGGGCCGAUACUGACGCUGAGGAGCGAAAGCGUGGGGAGCGAACAGGAUUAGAUACCCUAGUAGUCC
Molecule: ribosomal RNA, 770 nt
Filed under: uncultured bacterium
Lineage: Bacteria
Description: bacterial SSU rRNA
Rfam family: Bacterial small subunit ribosomal RNA
Source: RNAcentral